UGGGGAAUAUUGCACAAUGGGCGCAAGCCUGAUGCAGCCAUGCCGCGUGUGUGAAGAAGGCCUUCGGGUUGUAAAGCACUUUCAGCGAGGAGGAAGGUGGUGAGCUUAAUACGCUCAUCAAUUGACGUUACUCGCAGAAGAAGCACCGGCUAACUCCGUGCCAGCAGCCGCGGUAAUACGGAGGGUGCAAGCGUUAAUCGGAAUUACUGGGCGUAAAGCGCACGCAGGCGGUUUGUUAAGUCAGGUGUGAAAUCCCCGGGCUCAACCUGGGAACUGCAUUUGAAACUGGCAAGCUAGAGUCUCGUAGAGGGGGGUAGAAUUCCAGGUGUAGCGGUGAAAUGCGUAGAGAUCUGGAGGAAUACCGGUGGCGAAGGCGGCCCCCCUGGACGAAGACUGACGCUCAGGUGCGAAAGCGUGGGGCAGCAAACAGGAUUAGAUACCCUGGUAGUCCAGCGCUGUAAACGAUGUCGAUUUGGAGGUUGUGCCCUUGAGGCGUGGCUUCCGGAGCUAACGCGUUAAAUCGACCGCCUGGGGAGUACGGCCGCAAGGUUAAAACUCAAAGGAAUUGAC
This 570-nucleotide ribosomal RNA is filed under the name uncultured bacterium. Its description in RNAcentral is "partial 16S ribosomal RNA". It matches the Rfam family "Bacterial small subunit ribosomal RNA", at positions 355 to 914 of the family's 1533-position model. The record is from RNAcentral.